This is a long non-coding RNA of Brassica napus (rape), 6068 nucleotides long. RefSeq lists it as uncharacterized. Lineage: Eukaryota; Viridiplantae; Streptophyta; Magnoliopsida; Brassicales; Brassicaceae. The record is from RefSeq and is a predicted model, not a curated record. The transcript has 3 exons.
AUAAAACUCAUACAACCUUAACUUAAAACACUAAUUUGGAAAUAACCGAAGUGAGCAGUGAGGGAAGAGCGUGGAAAUUUAUAAAAAUGUGACAUUUGGAUAGAGAUGGAGAUAUGGAUAAGGAUGAAUGAGUCAUGAAGUAGGACCCUGGAAUCAAAGUAUCCCAAAGCUUCCGUGGAAAAGUAUUAUACUUACAAUGGUUAGUGUAUUCAAGACCCUCCUUUUUUAUUUUUCUACGUUACACAUGACUCUCUUUACACAUGACUCUCUCUUUCACAUUAUUAAUUCAACAUCUAUUUUCUUUUAAUAGCAUACAAUGAAUUUUUUUAAAAGAAAAUUCAACACCUUACAAUUUUAAUCUCAAUUUUUUUUAUGUUAUUAUUUACUAAAUAUAUCAGCAACAAAUUAAUCUGAAUAAUACAAUUAUCUUCGCCGACAAAAAAAUAUUUCUAAUUUUCAGUUUUAUUUAUAAUUUUAAUGUAUUUUGUUUUAUUUAUAUAAAUAAGAGUAUUAGGAAAUAAUAUUAAUAUUAUAUUGAAAUUAUUUAUGUAACUAAAUUAAAUAAACCAAAUCUCUAUUUGUACAACAUAAAAAACUAUGAAUUUUGACAUAAAUUGUUUUUAUAAAACAUAUAAUUUACUAUAAAAUAAUUCAAUUGAAGCAAUGAAGAUGAAAAAAAAAUCUCAAAAGUUCCAACAACCAAUUAGAUAUUACCAGUCAUAUUUAUUUUUUAAAAGAGAAAUAAAUUCUCAGAUCUUUACUUGCUUUUAAGAGCGUACAAUACAAAUACUUCAUCUGAUUGGUUCAUGUUUUAAAUGUAUGUUCCAUUUUUUGGUUUUCAACUACAGUUGAUUUAAUCCACAUAGUUUUUUUUCUUGUUUGAACAUCUCCAUUGCUUGUGUUCAACCGUUGAAAAAAUCAUUCAACUACCCCAAUGUACAUGGUCUAAGAACAGCAAAUGAAAGGUACUAUAUAAACGAUAGUGGAUGAGAGAAGAAUAGAUGUGUAACGACCCGGUUUUAAAAAAUCAUAAUUAAAAUUUGGUUUGAUUAUUUAUUUAGACUAAACCAAUCUGAAAAAUAAUUUCUCCUUAAUGGUUUAGUAAACCAGACAUGCUUAUAUAUUAAUUAUAAGUAUUUCUUUAUUCUUAAAACCUAAAACGUGAACUGCAGCGCAGCCAUCUUUCAUCACCAUCAUCUUCUUCGUUAGCCACCUCAAGUCAUCUUCACGUUUCUCCCUCCAUUAGUUGGUCCAACGACCAUCAUUGACCGUCAUCUUCUGGGAGUAAGUAGCCAACUCUUUUCUCUGUGUUAUAAAAGCGGAUCUCCAAUCAGAUUUGUAUUCUAAAAGUUAUGUGUGUUUUACCAAGUGAUAUUUCUGCAUAACACAUCUGAGACCAGUAUUGGGGAAAGUCAGGAACGGAUUAUCAAAGCAUAGAAUUUUGACGUCAAAUUUUCAUGAGGGAAUCCACGAACAGUCAACUUCAUAAGCGUUUUCCUGUUUAUCCCGACUCACUUAGAAAACGAGCGAGAUACCUUUGGAAAGGUCUCGUUGUCAGCCUUCCAGAUCAUUCUUUAGAUCGACAAACUGAGGUACAGUUAGGAAGUUAUGGCCAUUUUAAUUUCGGGUAUCAACUCUGGUCAAAUCCGAAAAUCAUAAACCUAGUCUUCUAAUUUGGAAACCCUAAAUCUAUUGUUUUAGGAAAGUUUCUUAUGGACCUAAGCCAUUAAUUCUCGUGUCGUAGUUGACCGUAUCCUCCGUUGUCCAUUUCAUCCAGUGGCUAAGGUGAGGGUUAUUCCGUUUAAUCCAGUGCUAGUUUAGUACUACCAUUAUGGAAAGUUUAGUUUCGAAACAUGUUCCGUCUCUAUGAAUCGAGUAUAACUGGAGUCUUGUUUGUUUUUAUUUUAUUCUUUGUCUAAACCGGAGAUAGGAAAUUAGAUGAUUCAACUGUUGAUUGAUUUGAUUGAUGUUAAAAGACGGUUAUAUAUAAGUAUACAUAUAGUAUGGAUUGGUUAGCCGGAUAAAGGGAAGUACUUCUGUAUCGGCCUAUUUGUGUGGAGAUUACGGGGUGUAUAGGGAAGCACUUUUGUACCACGUAUGAGCUGCGGGAGUACAAGGAAGCACUUCUGUACUACGUGGCAAUUGUUUUUGUUGAGAUUGCGGGGCGUAUAGGGAAGCACUUCUGUACACGCAUGAGCUGCGGGAGUAUGGGGAAGCACUUCUAUACUACGUAGCAUUGUGUAUGAGGAGAAUGUGGGAGUAUAUGGAAGCACUUCUGUACUACACAUACUUUUGGUAUACAUAAAAAUUUAUAUAUCUAUAUCCGUAAGAGGAGAAUGUAGGGUGCAACGAAGAGCUAUGUACUAUAAGUGCAUUGGUUGUUCUGUGUGGUGCAUUAGGUGUCGUGUUUGUUUUAUGCUAGAGCUAGGCCUACAUAGUCGUAGUGCUAUGUACUGAGUCAGUGGUUUGCGGUUUAGCAUCCCAUACCUCACUGAUUGACUCCCCUGUUGCUCACCCCUCUUUUCUCCUCCUUCCAGGUGAGACUGUCGAGCAUGAGUGAUUGCUAUCGGAUUGGUGCUUUUGGGUGUUUACUUCUUUCCAUUUCAGACUUGCGGGUUUUAUGGUUUUAUCGUAUUUUCUGGAUUUAUUUCAUUAUUUGGAUUUUUGACUAUUUGUCAGAUUUACGAUAUGUGCAGACGAUUUAUGAGGACUACUAAAUAGAGAUUUCACGAUUAUUAUUUAUUAUUUUAUUUUGGAGAGUACGGGUAUUACAAGAUGAUGGAAUGAUCAUGCUAUAGAAGCCCACAAAGAUAAUCACAAACGUAGAAACAGAGUCCGGAUGAUCAGAGACGUACAAAAACGUGAGUCGCUUGGCGAAUCAAAUCCCUGACACAUGAAAUAUUUAUAACAAAACAAUAAAAAAUAAAAAUAAUUGAAAUUUUCUUUGCAUCUCUUAUUUUUCAGCCGUCUAAAUAUUAAAUACUCAUUUUCUAAUUUUUCUCAUAAAAUUUUAAGCUACGGUGAUUUAUAUAUUUUAUCCAAUUUUUUUUUCAUUUCCUAUAUAAAUUAAUCUACUAUUUUCUCAAUUAUUUUAAAACCAGAUAAUACUUUAACAUUUUAAAUCUUAUACUAGGUGAUAACCCGCACCCUGCGCGGAGCGAGUAGAUUUAAAAAUAUUAUAACUUAUAAUUUGUAGACAUAAUAAAGGUUAAAGUCAUAGUAAGAAAAAUAUAUGUAAGAAAGCACGGGUUAUAACUAAGAAUUUUAGUAUGUCAAUAUAAAUUUAUAUGCGAUUGAAUUUAAAAUUAAAUUGUAUAUUUGUUUGCAUAAAGAUAAAUUAUAAAUAUAAGAUUAAAUGAAACAUAAACAAUAGUUUAAUAAAAUAUAAAAGGAAGAAUGUAUUAGAAAACAAAAGAAAAUGAAAAAUAAAGACAAAAUAACUGCUGUCAAUAAUGUCUUCAGAAGUCUUCGUUUGCAAUCUUAUUAUGAGCGAUAAAAAAGGAAUCAUCUUGCGAAAUUAAACAUAUUAUUUAAAAAAAAUCUGUGAAUGCAUGUAUUACCUCAAUCGUAAAGCAUCGAUUUCUGGAACACCAGUGGGGUCAAAGAUAAUUUUGGAAAACCCAUCAAUGUAGUAACCUUCUUAAGUCGGCCUUAUUAUGAAAGAUGAAACAAUAUUAAUACAUGCAUUCACAGAUUAAUACUGGAUGAAAUUAAUACUGUAUAUACUACUUACCUUGUUGUACAAAAUUGCGAAAUGUUUGGACGUCAAAUAGGUAACAAAAUGAAGUUUUGGUCACACAAAUUUAAUUUCACAAAUAUUUUCCUGUCGAUUAAGGUAAGUGUAAAUCAAAGAUGGAAAAUAAUGUAUUCGUAAUAACUUUGAAAUAGUAUAAUUUGAUUCAAAUAACAACUAUGCAAUAUCCGUUAAAUCUGUGAUAUAGAAAUUAUUUCUUUUCAAGUUAAUUGUGUUUUCUUUAAUACCCUAACAUGAUCGAACUUUUUUUUGUAUAAUAUAUUCGAUCCAGUGAUCAAGUCAAUUGUGUUUCCUUUAAAAUUGGAAGCAUUAAUUUUGGGAAUAAUCGAAUUGGUAAUUAUCAUAAUUAUGUUGCCUUGAAUCUAAAAGAUCAUAAAACGAUUUGGCAUAUUAUAUACUGACAAAAUCAAAUCUAAGAAAUGGUCAUGGUACUUUCAUAUGGUCAUGGCAUAUUACCUCUUCGUACCACAAUUAGUUUUUCAAAACAUUAUGAUAAACAUGGUUAACUAGUUGCUAUUAUUAGCUUUUCAAAAUAUUAUGAUAAACAUGGUUAACUUGAUGCAGGAUGAGAUAUGAAAUGCAAUCCUGGUCAUGUUAAUUUCUUACAAUCGGCGUAUCAAGCUUAAAGAACCAAUUCAAAAUGCAAAGAACAUAAUAUAAAGAAGUUUAAUAGAUUAAAGAACCAAUCGUUUACUCAAACUUAAAGAAUUAUCACCACACGUAUUCUUGGAUAUAUUCUCAAGGUUCUUCACCGAGGAACAUAAUUAUAACAAUAAAGACUCUCUUUGAAUGGUAAUAAAAUGUUUCCUUAUUUAAAGAUCCGAUUUUUUUAAAGAUCCGAAAGUAACGUUGUGAAGAUAAUUAUGCUUGAGAAUCUUAUACUAUAAUGUAAUGACCAGUGGUAUUUUUUUGUAAUUAGUCUAGUUGAGUAAAGACUUUUAAAAUAAUGAGGUGAUAGAGUUUGUGGUGAUGACACCUAGAAAAUGGUACACAUGUAAUAAACACAUGAAGCCAAAAUUAUUUUUUACUAAUGCUCCUCGAAUAAUAAAAAAAGAUACUCAUUUGUCUUCAUCAACAACUACUUAUAUUUAAAGAUGAGAUUUCUCAAAUUGUUAUCGAAAAAGUGAUUUUUCUUAAAUUGUAGUCAGAGGUGAGUUUUUGUCUCUAAACUGAUCUUACAUAUAAACUGUUAUCUUUAAUACUAUAAAAAAUAAUUGGAUUGGCAAUUAUGUAAAUGAUACUCCCUCCGUUUCUUAUUGUAAGUAGUUUAAAGAAAAUUCUUUUGUUUCAAAAUGUAAAUAGUUUCCAAAUAUCUAGAUAACUUUUACAUUUAUUGGAUAUAGUGUAACCAAUCAAAUGAUAUUAAUCUUUUUAUAAUUGGUUAAACUAAUUAAUUAAAUAUUAUUUUUUAAAGUACCAAGUUUCUUAUUAUUAGUGUUUUUAGUCUAAACUACUUACAUUUAAUAUUAGUGUUUUUAUUCUAAACUACUUACAUUGUGAAACGGAGGGAGUAUGUGUCAUUCACUAUUUUAAAAUAAAAUUAAUUAUUUUUUGUUAAAAUCUAAUAAAAAACUAUUUUCUUUAGAUUUUUGAGGAGAAUCAUUUCCACUACGUCUAUAUAACCUCUCGCUAACUCCGACUUCUUUUGCUUCUAUAAUGGUAAGAAAUCAUUUAGGGAAAAAAGCUCUGGAUAAAAAUGCCAACAAAGAGGUGCAGACUUCUCAAGGUUUAAUGACAAUCAAAUGUCUAACAUUCCUUUCAUGUAAUAAUUUUCUGCCAGUGGUUCUCAAUCAUCCUUCGAAUGUGUUAUUUGGUCAACGUUUAAGAUUUUUAUCGUGUAAGAAUCAUCCUACAACCGGAAGGUCUGAAAGAUUUUAGGUUGCAAAUUUUAAGUAGGAUUCACUCCAGAUCCCUAUCAAAUAUGGAACGAACCUAUCAGCCUAUAAAGCACAUGUUUCGUCUGGUAUUUUUACAUAUUUCCAACCAUAAUAAAAUCAGUAAAUUUUUAUUAUAUUUAGUUUUCUACAUAAAUUUACAGUUAGAAGUUGACUGAGACGAAAACGAACAAUAGUAAAAUGAAGAAAUGAGCUGUUUUUUUUUUUUUUUUUGUGUGUAAGAAACGAACUGUUUUUCUCAAGGCGCUUGAAUCUUUUACAUGUUAGAAGUGAAAAACCACUUAACAAAAAAGCUAGCUCCACUUAUAAGGUUUUGGGGUACAUCUAAACCUACCCCUAAACCGGCAGAGGAUAUCAAAACUACAUUGAAAAAAAUUAUCGUUAUGUGGAUUGAGACAGUCUGAAGCUCUCAGCACUUG